UAAAAAACACUGAAAUCCAGCAUGUACCCCAUUUCCCACUCUGAACUUCAUUUUUGGUGUUUGAUUUUUAGCGGAAAAUCUAGGGUUCCCUCUGCUCAACUCCCUCUCUCGCUCCCGCCCCCAAAUCCCUCACUCCUUCUCCUCUUCCUCCCGCUCUCAUCCUCAUCUAUUGAGUUCCAGCGAGCUCGAACUUCAUUUCUCUUGUGCGAUUUUCGCGGAAAAUCUAGGGUUCCCUCUCCUCAACUCCCUCUCUCGCUUCUGUCCCUAAAUCCCUCGUGCCUUUUCCUCUUCCUCCUGCUCUCAUCCUCAUCUGGAGUUCCAGCGAGCUCGAACCUUGGGUUUGUGUUGAUUUUGCAGUUGAUUUAGAAUUUGAGAACAGAUCUCGUGUUCUUGUGGGUGAUUUUCCAAGCUAUUGAGAUUGAGGUAAUGGUUGUUGGCUUCUUGUGGUAUAUAAUGCUCGGUUUGAGCUUAAUGACAGAUGGCUUUCUUUGGUACUUAAUUCUGGUAUGGGUUCUUUUUGUUCAUGUUUAUUUAGAUGGACAAUGAUGAUGAUAACGAACUGAGAAUACAGGUUAUAUUUAUUAUGUAAUGUUUAGGCGAGGCAAUUUUGUGUGGAAUGCAACCUACAUUGAUAUUAUAAUGUUUGGGUGAGGCAAUCCCUCAGAAGAGUAGCCUACAUUACAUCAUAGUUUUAUAGGUGAGACAAUCUUUUGUGACCAAUCUAUUUAUAUCCUGAGCCCUAGUAAGUAUUCAUGGAUUAUGGUGUUGAUUUUGAGCUUGUUUAGCUCUAUAUUGUGUGAGAAUUGGUGCUAUUUUGAGCACUAUUUGAGUUUAUGGUACUGUUUUUGAUGUUA
Asparagus officinalis (garden asparagus) is the source of this 854-nucleotide long non-coding RNA. RefSeq lists it as uncharacterized. The record is from RefSeq and is a predicted model, not a curated record. The transcript has 2 exons. Lineage: Eukaryota; Viridiplantae; Streptophyta; Magnoliopsida; Asparagales; Asparagaceae.